This 1237-nucleotide long non-coding RNA is filed under the name Dromaius novaehollandiae (emu). RNAcentral's name for it is "lncRNA (ENSDNVG00000016037.1)". Lineage: Eukaryota; Metazoa; Chordata; Aves; Casuariiformes; Dromaiidae. The record is from RNAcentral.
UGUAUGUUUUUCUGCGUGCUUCUCUGUGCUGCCUUUACAGCUCCAGGUAUCCUGCUCUAUGGYUCGUUUAAGACCAAGAUUUCCUUUGUGGGCCAGGAGUAAAGUCUGUAUUUCCCUCCUAUACAGAGAACGGUUGGAGGAGGAAGACAUAGCAUGGUUGACCAAAACCCAGACUCAUCUGGGCGUCAUGGGCAUCUCCYGCAGCAUCAGUCAGGACCUAAGGCAUGUAUUUAUUUCCUGGAGCACAGCCAUGGUGGUUUGUUCAGAAACAUUCCCCGGAGCCCGGCUCUGCUCCUGCCGCCRCCGUGCACGGAGGAACCUGCAAAGGGGACAGCAGCUCCACGAGCCGCAGGGUUUCACAGGAGUGGCCCAGCGACGGGGUGGCCAGGGCACAGACUGACAGAGCAGCUUUGCAUCUAUGCAAACCUGAUGACUCAGGCUGGUGGUCACCUGUUGCCAGCAUCCCUCUGUUGCCAAGAAGCCUGAACCAACAUCUCCAGCCGUCGUUCCAGGCAUCGCAGACUUGCACAGUCAGAGACAGCCACGGCCAGGCAGGCGGGGAGCAACCUCAUGGAAACCAAUUCUGUAUCGUCAAGGCAGAACCAUGAGGUUUCAGAGAGCUCCCACAACUCGUUACAACAGAGGAUUGAAGCCGCUUUAGAGCAGCUGAGUGCCAGCGCUUAUCCCGGCGAGCGCACAGCAUUCAGCUUUACCCAGCCUCAGGUAAGAGAGGGAAGGGAAAAACCUCCUCUUUGUGUAUAAUUUGCUUAAUCAAUCCCUUUGAAAACAGGUUUGAAACAAUGACAAAUGCCUGUGCAAUUUGUCUGUUCCCCCAAGAAUGGGGUAUUUAUAUGGGCUUGGAUGGGCAAAAAUGAAGACUGGGAAAGAUUCACCAACUCAAAUAGGAGAGGGAAAAUGGUGUUUUGGGCUGUUCGGUUUUGGCUGUUAACAUCUUAGCAUACCCUGCUCCAUCCUGACACUGCUUUACACCAGCACAAGCCCCUGUAAUAAUGACAAUGUCCCGUGCCUCCCCAGUUUGGUAAAGGCAGGGUUUGGGGUGAAGGAGAGCCCCUUUGCUCAUUCGGCUUGUUUGCCAAUAUCUCUCAACGCCCCGAAAUGUCAAGAGAAAGAUCAACYGAGUGGAACAUAAUCUCAAAGAGAAACACAGUAUUUUUUAAAAUGUCCUCACAGCAGCAAUCAUAAUAAAAAUACAAACCUGAGGUUUGUAAAAGUCUAG